Molecule: long non-coding RNA, 1028 nt
Organism: Hydra vulgaris (swiftwater hydra)
Lineage: Eukaryota; Metazoa; Cnidaria; Hydrozoa; Anthoathecata; Hydridae
Source: RefSeq, a predicted model, not a curated record
CCGCAUUAAUUUUUAAAUUAUUGUUUUGAAUUUUAUUAUAAAAUUCAAAACAUUUUAAAUUAAAAAAAUAGUGUAGCAAUAAGUUUUGUAUUACUAUUGGAUCUGUGUAUCGUCCAUCGAAGUUAGAGUGAUUUUCAGCAAUAAGUUUAGUGGACAAUAAGAGAAAAGUCUGUCACUAAUGUUAAAUAUGUACACUAAUCUGUUAUCACAGCAAGAUCGUAAAAAGUUGUUUUGGCACCCCUCCCCCCACGUGACACCUACUCGUGCCAGCCCUGCAUACAGCCUAUGCUGAUGUAACCUUGAAGUUGUGUGAGAGGCCAAGGAAUUUAGAUGUAAAGUACUUACACACUAAUCUGGCUUUAGUCAAUAUACUACAAGAAUUGAUAAUAAAAAUAACUUUCAGAAGAUUGCCAAUACUUUCUUCCUGCCAUCUUUAAAAUGUUUGAAAAAUUAAUUUACUGUGAAUUAGUGAAAUAAAAACGUUGUUUAAGAAGAAUUUUUACUACAUUUAUAAAGUGUUACUUUAUAAGGCAUAAAAUUAGCAGUAUUUUUUGUUUGACAAUUUUGCUGUUUUCACAAUUUUUUAAACCCAAUCACUUUUGUUUCAAUUCAAUUUAUUAAAAAGUAAAAAAUAGUUUUAGUCUUCAACAGUUAAAAUUAUUUUGUAAACUUCGUAAAAGAAACUGUCAUUGCUCUAGCAUAAAUCGAGAUCUACCUGAUGAAAGAUGGUAUUAUUUAUAUAUGUGAUAAUUAAUAAAAGACAAUUAGUUUUUAAAUGAUCAGAUGAAUGCUGGCCUUUAUUAUAUGGCUUGUUGUGUAUUAUAUUUUGUGCAUAGUUAAUGUAACAAUCAGUCUCUUUGUUUCAAAAAUAAAAUUUAUGUUUCGCAUAGUAAAUUGGGUUUUCUUACUCUUUUGCAUUUCCUUCGUUUUUGUUAAAUAUUGUUUUGUAAAAUUUAUUAUCUCUCUGAUAUAAUAUGAGUGUGCAGCCGAUAUUUUUUUAAUUCUCAUUUUAUAUUUUUUAUAAAUGA